CGUCUAAUACCGGAUAUGACCUGCCCCGGCAUCGGGUGUGGGUGGAAAGUUUUUCGGUCAAGGAUGGACUCGCGGCCUAUCAGCUUGUUGGUGAGGUAAUGGCUCACCAAGGCGACGACGGGUAGCCGGCCUGAGAGGGUGACCGGCCACACUGGGACUGAGACACGGCCCAGACUCCUACGGGAGGCAGCAGUGGGGAAUAUUGCACAAUGGGCGAAAGCCUGAUGCAGCAACGCCGCGUGGGGGAUGACGGCCUUCGGGUUGUAAACCUCUUUUAGUAGGGAAGAAGGGCUUCGGCUUGACGGUACCUGCAGAAAAAGCACCGGCUAACUACGUGCCAGCAGCCGCGGUAAUACGUAGGGUGCAAGCGUUGUCCGGAAUUAUUGGGCGUAAAGAGCUCGUAGGCGGUUUGUCGCGUCUGCUGUGAAAACCCGAGGCUCAACCUCGGGCCUGCAGUGGGUACGGGCAGACUAGAGUGCGGUAGGGGAGAAUGGAAUUCCUGGUGUAGCGGUGGAAUGCGCAGAUAUCAGGAGGAACACCGAUGGCGAAGGCAGUUCUCUGGGCCGUUACUGACGCUGAGGAGCGAAAGCGUGGGGAGCGAACAGGAUUAGAUACCCUGGUAGUCCACGCCGUAAACGUUGGGAACUAGAUGUGGGGGCCUUUCCACGGUCUCCGUGUCGCAGCUAACGCAUUAAGUUCCCCGCCUGGGGAGUACGGCCGCAAGGCUAAAACUCAAAGGAAUUGACGGGGGCCCGCACAAGCGGCGGAGCAUGCGGAUUAAUUCGAUGCAACGCGAAGAACCUUACCAAGGCUUGACAUAUACCGGAAACUUCCAGAGAUGGUUGCCCCGCAAGGUCGGUAUACAGGUGGUGCAUGGUUGUCGUCAGCUCGUGUCGUGAGAUGUUGGGUUAAGUCCCGCAACGAGCGCAACCCUCGUUCUAUGUUGCCAGCACGUUAUGGUGGGAACUCAUAGGAGACUGCCGGGGUCAACUCGGAGGAAGGUGGGGAUGACGUCA
Molecule: ribosomal RNA, 1016 nt
Filed under: Rathayibacter agropyri
Lineage: Bacteria; Bacillati; Actinomycetota; Actinomycetes; Micrococcales; Microbacteriaceae
Description: bacterial SSU rRNA
Rfam family: Bacterial small subunit ribosomal RNA
Source: RNAcentral